This 1018-nucleotide long non-coding RNA is filed under the name Homo sapiens (human). Its description in RNAcentral is "HSALNT0313518". Lineage: Eukaryota; Metazoa; Chordata; Mammalia; Primates; Hominidae. The record is from RNAcentral.
CCCGCUUAUUACUACCCCCCCACCCCAAUACACACACACUUGGCAGUAUCCUAACUUCUUCACUCUUGUCCACAUUUGUCUUGGCGCUCUGGGGAAGAAGGCUGGAGUGCAAUGGCGCGAUCUUGGCUCACUGCAACCUCCGCCUUCCUGGUUCAAGUGAUUCUCCUGCCUCAGCCUCCUGAGUAGCUGGGAUAACAGACAUGCAUCACCACGACCAGAUAAGGACACUGCAGCCCAGAGAAGAAACCUGCAAAGGCCGUGUUCACACACUCACAAGAGAUAUGGCUGUGAUUUGGAUCCAGAUGUGAUGGGCUGACAACAAAACUCCUGUGAUACCAUGAAGUCUUCGGGAGGCAGAAUUGAAGUGAACAUGAAGUUUAGCUUAGAGAAGAAAAGAAUAAAUACAUACAAAACAUUUGAUGGUGAAUAAACAGAAAAUGGUGUAUUCAACAGAAUUUGACUCAGCAAUAAAAAUGAACCAAACUAUGGAAAACAACACCCAACAACAGGAAGAAAUCUCAAAAUAAUUAUGUUCUGGAGGCCAGAAUUCUGAAAUUGAGGUGUCAGCAGCUGUUCCGUCUGAAGGGUCUAGAGAGAAUCCUUCACUGCUUCUUCCAGCUUCUGGUGGCUGCAGGCAAUCCUGGUGUUCCUUGGCUGGAAGGCACAUCACUCCAAACUCUGCCGCUGUCUUCACAUGGCCUUCUUCCUGUCUGUCUUCUCUUCUAAGGACUUAGGACCCACUCUAAUCCAGGAUGCUCUCAUCUCAAGAUCCUUAACUCGAUUACAGCUGCAAAGACCUUUUUUCCAAAUAAAGUCACCUUCACAGAUUCCAGGUGGACCUGUCUUUUGGGAGGCCACCAUACAAUCUACUGCCUCCCCCAAGCACCCUAUGUCCUUUUAUACCUUUGGCUCUGUUGUUUCCACAUUAAAAAUUUCUUUUUCAUUCUCUUUUCAAAAUACUGCCCAGAUUGUCUGUCCAGCUAGCAAAGCCUCUCCUAGUCAGAACACCCUGUAUUCG